RNAcentral lists this long non-coding RNA (850 nucleotides) under Mytilus galloprovincialis (Mediterranean mussel). Lineage: Eukaryota; Metazoa; Mollusca; Bivalvia; Mytilida; Mytilidae. The record is from RNAcentral.
GUUGAAUUGGCCAUGUCAGAGACCACUGACCACAUAAUUCAGAGGUUUCACUUCGGUGGACAAAAUUUAACGCAUACCGGGAAAUACUCAUAUCAAUACCGACAUUUUUGUGAUUAUGUUUUCAAGAUAGAUAACUCUUGUGUGAAUACUGAAACAGCUGUUUUCCCCUACAACAACACCAGCCCCGGCGGUGUACAUACUAUCAGGAAUACUACCCGUCGAAGCGCAAAUUGACGAAAGAGCACUUGGAUUAUUUAAUAACAUCUGUAACCAAGAUGAAAGCAGCACGGAAAAACAACUGGCACGCAGGCAAAUUGAGGUCAAAUCCUUGGAAAGCAACAGCUGGUUUAUAGAAAUCAAAAAGAUCCUAACAAAAUAUAACAUGGAUGAACUGAUGAAAUCAACAACUAUCUUGAUAUACCUAUGAAGAAAGAAAAAUGGAUCCCACUAAUAAACCGAACUAUCCAAAAACACUGGAAUGACUCAAUAAGAACAAUGGUUCCAUAUUACAAAGGCCUACAGCAUCUAAAUUACAUGGAAUUUUACCAAGGGAAGCUACACCCCCUGCUAAAAAUCAAAUGUCAAUCAGCUAGAGACAUAGGAAGAAUUCCUCCAAAACUUAAAAUGCUAACUGGCACAUACAUUCUGCAGUCACAUAGAAUCAAAAUGUACCAAAAUGAAAUAGAUCCGAUGUGUCUUAUCUGCCACCAAGGAGACGAAACACUUGAACAUUUCAUCCUAGAAUGUGAAGGCCUUUCCAACAUCAGAAAUCCAAUUGCGGAUGAAAUAAAUGCCAUUCUGAAGAGUUCAAUUAACACAGAAUUUCAUGAGCAAACAUCAAAAAUAAAGA